UUAGAAAGCUCGUAGUUGAACCUUGGGCCUGGCUGGCCGGUCCGCCUCACCGCGUGUACUGGUCCGGCCGGGCCUUUCCCUCUGUGGAACCCCAUGCCCUUCACUGGGUGUGGCGGGGAAACAGGACUUUUACUGUGAAAAAAUUAGAGUGCUCCAGGCAGGCCUAUGCUCGAAUACAUUAGCAUGGAAUAAUAGAAUAGGACGUGUGGUUCUAUUUUGUUGGUUUCUAGGACCGCCGUAAUGAUUAAUAGGGACAGUCGGGGG
RNAcentral lists this ribosomal RNA (264 nucleotides) under uncultured Ascomycota. RNAcentral's name for it is "partial 18S ribosomal RNA". It matches the Rfam family "Eukaryotic small subunit ribosomal RNA", at positions 619 to 888 of the family's 1831-position model. The record is from RNAcentral. Lineage: Eukaryota; Fungi; Ascomycota.